RNAcentral lists this unclassified non-coding RNA (758 nucleotides) under Hevea brasiliensis (rubber tree). The record is from RNAcentral. Lineage: Eukaryota; Viridiplantae; Streptophyta; Magnoliopsida; Malpighiales; Euphorbiaceae.
UGAUAAUUGACGAAUAAAACCACAUUCAUUUCAGACAAUGAAAGAAGAAGAGCGACGAAGCGGGGAAUCCAAAAUGUAUUAGAUCAGAUCAAAAACCACACCAUAUAAUUUUUGCCGUUCACGGAACGAAUCUAAACUCAGUAACCGAACCAGAGACCAACUUAACCAAACCAGAGAACAACGAAGCAACUGCAUAACCAUAGACUGAUAAAGGCAACACGGACGGGACCCGCGUGCAACACCGUGGGAGAAACAACCCUUAAUUCCAACCGCCGCCGCCACCUUCACGGCGAGCACCACCGUACCCACCGCCACCACCUCCUCCUUCACGGCGACCACCACCAUACCCACCGCCACCUCCACCACCAUACCCACCACCACCUCCAUAAUUGCCGCCGCGGGAUCCGCCAUAACUCCCACCGCCGCCGCCGCCACGAGAUCCACCGCCGCCGCUGCCGCGGGACUGGGCUUCGUUGACGGUGAUGCUCCUCCCAUCAAGGUUCUGCCCGUGCAUCCCCUCAAUAGCGUCCUUCAUCGCCUGCUCGCUACCGAAGGUAACGAAUCCGAACCCUCUCGAUCUCCCUGUUUCACGAUCGUUGAUGAUCUUGGAUUCAACGACAUCACCGUACGUGCUGAAGGCCUGCUCGAGGGCGCGGUCGUCCGUGGCCCAGGCGAGGCCGCCGACGAAGCAGCGAUACUCGGCAUCAACAGCCGCCAUCGGAGCCGAGAGGAUGGAGGAGGAGAAGCCCUAGAUUGGG